This 2902-nucleotide ribosomal RNA is filed under the name Escherichia coli UMEA 3139-1. Its description in RNAcentral is "bacterial LSU rRNA". It matches the Rfam family "Bacterial large subunit ribosomal RNA". The record is from RNAcentral. Lineage: Bacteria; Pseudomonadati; Pseudomonadota; Gammaproteobacteria; Enterobacterales; Enterobacteriaceae. RNAcentral also lists the same sequence under 1 other name.
UUAAGCGACUAAGCGUACACGGUGGAUGCCCUGGCAGUCAGAGGCGAUGAAGGACGUGCUAAUCUGCGAUAAGCGUCGGUAAGGUGAUAUGAACCGUUAUAACCGGCGAUUUCCGAAUGGGGAAACCCAGUGUGAUUCGUCACACUAUCAUUAACUGAAUCCAUAGGUUAAUGAGGCGAACCGGGGGAACUGAAACAUCUAAGUACCCCGAGGAAAAGAAAUCAACCGAGAUUCCCCCAGUAGCGGCGAGCGAACGGGGAGGAGCCCAGAGCCUGAAUCAGUGUGUGUGUUAGUGGAAGCGUCUGGAAAGGCGCGCGAUACAGGGUGACAGCCCCGUACACAAAAAUGCACAUGCUGUGAGCUCGAUGAGUAGGGCGGGACACGUGGUAUCCUGUCUGAAUAUGGGGGGACCAUCCUCCAAGGCUAAAUACUCCUGACUGACCGAUAGUGAACCAGUACCGUGAGGGAAAGGCGAAAAGAACCCCGGCGAGGGGAGUGAAAAAGAACCUGAAACCGUGUACGUACAAGCAGUGGGAGCACGCUUAGGCGUGUGACUGCGUACCUUUUGUAUAAUGGGUCAGCGACUUAUAUUCUGUAGCAAGGUUAACCGAAUAGGGGAGCCGAAGGGAAACCGAGUCUUAACUGGGCGUUAAGUUGCAGGGUAUAGACCCGAAACCCGGUGAUCUAGCCAUGGGCAGGUUGAAGGUUGGGUAACACUAACUGGAGGACCGAACCGACUAAUGUUGAAAAAUUAGCGGAUGACUUGUGGCUGGGGGUGAAAGGCCAAUCAAACCGGGAGAUAGCUGGUUCUCCCCGAAAGCUAUUUAGGUAGCGCCUCGUGAAUUCAUCUCCGGGGGUAGAGCACUGUUUCGGCAAGGGGGUCAUCCCGACUUACCAACCCGAUGCAAACUGCGAAUACCGGAGAAUGUUAUCACGGGAGACACACGGCGGGUGCUAACGUCCGUCGUGAAGAGGGAAACAACCCAGACCGCCAGCUAAGGUCCCAAAGUCAUGGUUAAGUGGGAAACGAUGUGGGAAGGCCCAGACAGCCAGGAUGUUGGCUUAGAAGCAGCCAUCAUUUAAAGAAAGCGUAAUAGCUCACUGGUCGAGUCGGCCUGCGCGGAAGAUGUAACGGGGCUAAACCAUGCACCGAAGCUGCGGCAGCGACGCUUAUGCGUUGUUGGGUAGGGGAGCGUUCUGUAAGCCUGCGAAGGUGUGCUGUGAGGCAUGCUGGAGGUAUCAGAAGUGCGAAUGCUGACAUAAGUAACGAUAAAGCGGGUGAAAAGCCCGCUCGCCGGAAGACCAAGGGUUCCUGUCCAACGUUAAUCGGGGCAGGGUGAGUCGACCCCUAAGGCGAGGCCGAAAGGCGUAGUCGAUGGGAAACAGGUUAAUAUUCCUGUACUUGGUGUUACUGCGAAGGGGGGACGGAGAAGGCUAUGUUGGCCGGGCGACGGUUGUCCCGGUUUAAGCGUGUAGGCUGGUUUUCCAGGCAAAUCCGGAAAAUCAAGGCUGAGGCGUGAUGACGAGGCACUACGGUGCUGAAGCAACAAAUGCCCUGCUUCCAGGAAAAGCCUCUAAGCAUCAGGUAACAUCAAAUCGUACCCCAAACCGACACAGGUGGUCAGGUAGAGAAUACCAAGGCGCUUGAGAGAACUCGGGUGAAGGAACUAGGCAAAAUGGUGCCGUAACUUCGGGAGAAGGCACGCUGAUAUGUAGGUGAAGUCCCUCGCGGAUGGAGCUGAAAUCAGUCGAAGAUACCAGCUGGCUGCAACUGUUUAUUAAAAACACAGCACUGUGCAAACACGAAAGUGGACGUAUACGGUGUGACGCCUGCCCGGUGCCGGAAGGUUAAUUGAUGGGGUCAGCGCAAGCGAAGCUCUUGAUCGAAGCCCCGGUAAACGGCGGCCGUAACUAUAACGGUCCUAAGGUAGCGAAAUUCCUUGUCGGGUAAGUUCCGACCUGCACGAAUGGCGUAAUGAUGGCCAGGCUGUCUCCACCCGAGACUCAGUGAAAUUGAACUCGCUGUGAAGAUGCAGUGUACCCGCGGCAAGACGGAAAGACCCCGUGAACCUUUACUAUAGCUUGACACUGAACAUUGAGCCUUGAUGUGUAGGAUAGGUGGGAGGCUUUGAAGUGUGGACGCCAGUCUGCAUGGAGCCGACCUUGAAAUACCACCCUUUAAUGUUUGAUGUUCUAACGUUGACCCGUAAUCCGGGUUGCGGACAGUGUCUGGUGGGUAGUUUGACUGGGGCGGUCUCCUCCUAAAGAGUAACGGAGGAGCACGAAGGUUGGCUAAUCCUGGUCGGACAUCAGGAGGUUAGUGCAAUGGCAUAAGCCAGCUUGACUGCGAGCGUGACGGCGCGAGCAGGUGCGAAAGCAGGUCAUAGUGAUCCGGUGGUUCUGAAUGGAAGGGCCAUCGCUCAACGGAUAAAAGGUACUCCGGGGAUAACAGGCUGAUACCGCCCAAGAGUUCAUAUCGACGGCGGUGUUUGGCACCUCGAUGUCGGCUCAUCACAUCCUGGGGCUGAAGUAGGUCCCAAGGGUAUGGCUGUUCGCCAUUUAAAGUGGUACGCGAGCUGGGUUUAGAACGUCGUGAGACAGUUCGGUCCCUAUCUGCCGUGGGCGCUGGAGAACUGAGGGGGGCUGCUCCUAGUACGAGAGGACCGGAGUGGACGCAUCACUGGUGUUCGGGUUGUCAUGCCAAUGGCACUGCCCGGUAGCUAAAUGCGGAAGAGAUAAGUGCUGAAAGCAUCUAAGCACGAAACUUGCCCCGAGAUGAGUUCUCCCUGACCCUUUAAGGGUCCUGAAGGAACGUUGAAGACGACGACGUUGAUAGGCCGGGUGUGUAAGCGCAGCGAUGCGUUGAGCUAACCGGUACUAAUGAACCGUGAGGCUUAACCUU